CCUACGGGUGGCAGCAGUGAGGAAUAUUGGUCAAUGGGCGCGAGCCUGAACCAGCCAAGUAGCGUGAAGGAUGACUGCCCUACGGGUUGUAAACUUCUUUUAUAAAGGAAUAAAGUGAGGCACGUAUGCCUUUUUGUAUGUACUUUAUGAAUAAGGAUCGGCUAACUCCGUGCCAUCAGCCGCGGUACUACGGAGGAUCCGAGCGUUAUCCGGAUUUAUUGGGUUUAAAGGGAGCGUAGAUGGGUUGUUAAGUCAGUUGUGAAAGUUUGCGGCUCAACCGUAAAAUUGCAAUUGAUACUGGCAGUCUUGAGUACAGUUGAGGUAGGCGGAAUUCGUGGUGUAGCGGUGAAAUGCUUAGAUAUCACGAAGAACUCCGAGUGCGAAGGCAGCUUACUAAACUGCCACUGACAUUGAUGCUCGAAAGUGUGGGUAUCAAACAGGAUUAGAUACCCCAGUAGUC
RNAcentral lists this ribosomal RNA (460 nucleotides) under uncultured bacterium. RNAcentral describes it as "partial 16S ribosomal RNA". It matches the Rfam family "Bacterial small subunit ribosomal RNA", at positions 338 to 795 of the family's 1533-position model. The record is from RNAcentral.